This 254-nucleotide ribosomal RNA is filed under the name uncultured bacterium. RNAcentral's name for it is "partial 16S ribosomal RNA". It matches the Rfam family "Bacterial small subunit ribosomal RNA", at positions 524 to 777 of the family's 1533-position model. The record is from RNAcentral.
UACGGAGGGGGCUAGCGUUGUUCGGAAUUACUGGGCGUAAAGCGCACGUAGGCGGCUUUGUAAGUCAGAGGUGAAAGCCCGGAGCUUAACUCCGGAAUUGCCUUUGAGACUGCAUCGCUUGAAUCCAGGAGAGGUGAGUGGAAUUCCGAGUGUAGAGGUGAAAUUCGUAGAUAUUCGGAAGAACACCAGUGGCGAAGGCGGCUCACUGGACUGGUAUUGACGCUGAGGUGCGAAAGCGUGGGGAGCAAACAGGG